Molecule: long non-coding RNA, 1873 nt
Organism: Anastrepha ludens (Mexican fruit fly)
Lineage: Eukaryota; Metazoa; Arthropoda; Insecta; Diptera; Tephritidae
Exons: 6
Source: RefSeq, a predicted model, not a curated record
UCAGCUCUACUUUUAUUUGACAAUCUUGCGAUUGAAUUCAGUGUAAUUAUUAUGAGAGAUAAUUUUUUAAAUUUUAACGUAGCAAUUGGUGUCGGAAGUGGGAUUGUUGAAUAAGGUCCCAAGAACAAGCUCGUGAAAAUAGCAAAGCUAAGCGAAGUCAAGAUUCAGCAUCUUAAGAAAGAGUUGGAACAGCGUGGCUUGUUAACUACGGAUAACAAGGCAAUGCUACAAGAACGUCUACUUAAAGCUAUGGAGGGACAAGGCGUCGAUAUAGAUGAAUAUAUGCUCCAGGUGGAAGCUGAGGGGUCAUCGACCAAAAUGGAAAAUAGGGCAGAACCUACAGGACCUUCACCAGGCAUCCUCGGUAUAAAAAAACGCUAUGUUUUAUAUAUGUAUGGCGAAAAGAACGUUCCCAAAAAAAAAAAAAUUUGAUGCCGUUUUCAAUCAUGUAUAUUACUUGGAAAAAUUAAGGACAUUAAUAUUUCUGAUGAAAUGAAGAAGGAUUUAAUGCAAAAAGUACAAUACAUCAUGUGUGGCUAAAUUCGGAGCUGAAGUUGGUGUUAAAUAGCAUUCUCAAAAAAGCAACUAUAUACAAGCAUCGAUAAUAUCACAUAUUACAACCAUGAACGGCAACUCAGAGAAAUCAUACACAAUCAACACAGCGAACAACUUAAAGUACUCCACAUAUUUUCCUCAAACUCAAUCUACAAAUUCAGCAAUAUCCAAAAACUCUCAACAUUUUUGAUACCUAUUGAAGAAAACCCAGUACAUUUUACGUUCUUUAUCAUAAUGGGUUUCCUUACUUUAGUAGUCAUCACUUAUGGUAUGGUACAUCUCUGCCGAUACUAUGAAAAUAGGAGAAUGCUUCGCAGACAAAGCUAAAUUGACAAAUUAUACGAAAUCGAACCGUCUUCAACAGCAACUCGGAGCAGCACCAUAGCGGGGACGCUCCGUUAUAAGAGGGAGGAGAGUUAACGACGUGAAUGGUUAUUUGGCACUUGCGAGCACAUUGUAGUUCAAGAUUAUGUACGUUUGCUGAGCUAUUGGUGCAAAGGGAACGUUUAUUCACGUACAUACUCGACAAUUUAUUGUGGCUGUAUCAUUGCUAUACCGCGCUGAAUCAUACAAAGCACGGGUUUGAUUCGCUGAUUAUCGAAAAGGCGUACAAAAACUUAUUAAUGCAGGUACACAAGAAUUGGGAAUAAUUUUAUCUGGUGGUGGUUUAUAUACUCCUGCAUUGAGCUUCGAAUUUUCACCUCUUCGCAUAUGUGUACGCCGUAUUACCAAGGAAGACCUCAAUGAAGCAUGGGUGUGGUUGCAAGAAAAUGAAAUGGCUGAUUUGCCACAUCGCAAUAAAGCAGCCGAUAUGGCCCGGCCACUGUUACACAAACUCAAGUAUGAAAUUUUACUAGCGUACGCAAAUAUAUAGCAAACAAGCUGCUAAGUCUCAAGCUUUUACAUCGCAAUGGCUAUAUAAUGACUACAUGAUAUGAAAUUUGCUACAAAAACGUUUUAUAUCAUUUAUUAAAAACAUGCAAACCAACCAAUAUUUCAGUUUUAAACAUACAUUUGCGAUUAUAAACCAGCAAAUUGUGUCUGCCAUUGAAUACAUUAGAUCUUUUCUUGCAUGGAUUGAAAUUGAAUGCUAAUUCAGAUAUCGAGUAUAAGCAGAUUUAGAGGACGUCAUACAGACCGAUACCGUACAGCGCACAGCAGAGGAUAACAUCCAAAUGGAUUAAAAAAAAUUAAAUUAAACUAAAUAAUUUAUUUUUCAAUCAAUUUUGCAAAGUUUAAAAACUCGUGUUCUAAAUACAGAUUAUAAAAUGAAAUGUUUCGUAUAUCUUAAAAAAAAACUUAAAAAUUCUCAUUCAUC